RNAcentral lists this ribosomal RNA (253 nucleotides) under uncultured bacterium. Its description in RNAcentral is "partial 16S ribosomal RNA". It matches the Rfam family "Bacterial small subunit ribosomal RNA", at positions 524 to 776 of the family's 1533-position model. The record is from RNAcentral.
UACGUAGGGUGCAAGCGUUAAUCGGAGUUACUGGGCGUAAAGCGUGCGCAGGCGGUUUUGUAAGUCUGACGUGAAAUCCCCGGGCUCAACCUGGGAAUUGCGUUGGAGACUGCAAGGCUAGAAUCUGGCAGAGGGGGGUAGAAUUCCACGUGUAGCAGUGAAAUGCGUAGAGAUGUGGAGGAACACCGAUGGCGAAGGCAGCCCCCUGGGUCAAGAUUGACGCUCAUGCACGAAAGCGUGGGGAGCAAACAGG